GCCGUCAAGUCACGAAAGUUGGUAACACCCGAAGCCGGUGGCCUAACCCCCUUGUGGGGAGGGAGCUGUCGAAGGUGGGACCGGCGAUUGGGACUAAGUCGUAACAAGGUAGCCGUACCGGAAGGUGCGGCUGGAUCACCUCCUUUCUAAGGAGCGUCUGGCUUUCCGGUGGGUGCCGCUUGGUGCCUGGUUGGGGGGUUCAGAGUUAAGCCCAUUGCCCGGGCGUUCGUUCCGGGGUGGGUGCUCAUGGGUGGAACAUCAGAAGAAUGGAUUUGUUGGCGGAUCGUGGCCUGUGGCGUGAGUACGGCCGCAUCGUGUGUGCACCCUUUUUGGGGGUGUGUGUGUGGUGUGGUGGGGAAAGUGUGGGGUUGCGGGUUGCUGGCGGGUUGUUUGGCACACUGUUGGGUCCUGAAGCAACAGGCCGUUUGUGGUCUGUGUUUCUGAGUUCCCCUGGCUUGUCUGUCCUGUCACCGGUUUGGUGGUGGGGUGGGGGGUUGUGG
This 500-nucleotide unclassified non-coding RNA is filed under the name Arthrobacter sp. S3. RNAcentral describes it as "partial contains 16S ribosomal RNA, 16S-23S ribosomal RNA intergenic spacer, and 23S ribosomal RNA". The stretch from base 1 to 146 matches the Rfam family "Bacterial small subunit ribosomal RNA", at positions 1392 to 1533 of the family's 1533-position model. The record is from RNAcentral. Lineage: Bacteria; Bacillati; Actinomycetota; Actinomycetes; Micrococcales; Micrococcaceae.